Molecule: ribosomal RNA, 253 nt
Filed under: uncultured bacterium
Lineage: Bacteria
Description: partial 16S ribosomal RNA
Rfam family: Bacterial small subunit ribosomal RNA
Source: RNAcentral
UACGUAGGGGGCAAGCGUUGUCCGGAAUUAUUGGGCGUAAAGAGCGUGUAGGCGGUCCGGUAAGUCCGCUGUGAAAGUCCAGGGCUCAACCCUGGGAUGCCGGUGGAUACUGUCGGGCUCGAGUCCGGAAGAGGCGAGUGGAAUUCCUGGUGUAGCGGUGAAAUGCGUAGAUAUCAAGCGGAACACCGGUGGCGAAGGCGGCCUUCUGGACGAUGACUGACGCUGAGACGCGAAAGCGUGGGGAGCAAACAGG